Long non-coding RNA from Bos taurus (domestic cattle), 914 nucleotides. The record is from Ensembl. NCBI's taxonomy places the organism in Eukaryota, Metazoa, Chordata, Mammalia, Artiodactyla, Bovidae.
AGCAGAGGAUAUGGGGGAAGGGUCUGCACCUGGCAAGGCCCCACAAAGUCCUGCUCAGUUAGAGUUAGGAGUACAAGAGGUUUAGUGAGGGGGUGAUGUCUGUGAGAAAUAAAAGGGAGAAGAAGCAGGCUUGGGCUGGGAAAGCCCCAGACUGCUAAAGAGAUUUGACCUUAUCAGUUAACCCAGUUAGAAGUUCUAAAGUAACUGCUACCCUCAGAGCAGUCCCAUCUUAGCAGAAAUGACUAUGUCCCCAUCUCCGUGCCCUGCUGAGUCACUGGCUGGGAGUCUCUAGGAAUGAACCUGGCCAAGAUGCAAAAGCCUAGGUGAAGCCUGGGGGUGCCAACAGUGGUAAGGCGUCAGCUCAGCACAAUCCUUGUAGCUGUCGCUCUAGCAGCUGCAGCUUCUCAGUAGAAUCAGGAGAGGGCGCCCACGGACCUGUCUUUGCCUCGCUCCUAGCAAAGCCUCGCGACCGGGUUUCCUUACCCUGCAGCUGGGAUCUUAAUUCCAAGACCAGGGACCAAAUCCACGUCCCCUACAUUGGAAGGUGGAUUCCUAACUACUGGAUCACCAGGGAAGUCCCUCUUGAACAAAGUUGGUGAGGGGCACGCAGCAAACAAUAGCAACCGAGGACCUGCCUCAACCUGGUUCCUGGGGCCGUCGGUAGCCCCGAGAAGAGCGAAAGGCCCAAUAGCAGCUAAUAUUGUAUCAAUACUUGCCCAUCCUGGUUAAAGUCAAUCCCGAAGGACUUCAGAAUGUGGCCGUAUUUGGAGGAUUCUUCACCACUGAGUCAUCUGGGAAGCCUGACAAAAACAGAUCAGCCAAUACACUGAUGUCUUGGAGGAACCUCCUGCUGCCCAAAGCUGUGGGGCUGGUUCCCGGGUGGCCUCUCAACUCUCCAUCUAUCCCCGCCCACU